Molecule: long non-coding RNA, 429 nt
Filed under: Elaeis guineensis (African oil palm)
Lineage: Eukaryota; Viridiplantae; Streptophyta; Magnoliopsida; Arecales; Arecaceae
Description: long non-coding RNA (EGUI_LNC072413)
Source: RNAcentral
ACAACCCCCGGAGCACCCGCGGGCUCUCCGGUGUUGCCCCCUCGGGGUGGCCGCGGCGGUGCAAGGCAGGCCGGAGGGAUGCGUGCGGAGCGAGAUGCGAGUCUCGACUAUGCCGUGGGGGGCCCGGAUCCGACCGCUCUCGGCGGCGAGUGCACCGACGCCCGGGCUCGCCCGUAAUGAGGCCGGCGGGCGGCCGGACGCAGACUGAACCAAAGACGGGGCCCCCAAAGAUAAAACAGCCCUGAAACCCACUAAAAUGAAGGAUUUUGGGCCCCAGAAAUGGAGUGAACGGGUAAACCCGGUUCACGGUCGUAGGGCUCGAAAUGAGCUUUCCGUUGAUAUAUUAUCGCCCCCGUAACUCUUCCCGGAUCAAAAGUUACGGCCGUUCGAAGCUUGUGCCACCAUUUUGAUGCUCCAACCGAUUCAUCU